UACGGAGGAUGCGAGCGUUAUCCGGAUUUAUUGGGUUUAAAGGGUGCGUAGGCGGACUGUCAAGUCAGCGGUAAAAUUGGGAGGCUCAACCUCUUCCCGUCGUUGAAACUGGUGGUCUUGAGUGGAUGAGAAGUACGCGGAAUGCGUGGUGUAGCGGUGAAAUGCAUAGAUAUCACGCAGAACUCCGAUUGCGAAGGCAGCGUACCGGCAUCCAACUGACGCUGAGGCACGAAAGCGUGGGGAUCAAACAGG
RNAcentral lists this ribosomal RNA (252 nucleotides) under uncultured bacterium. RNAcentral describes it as "partial 16S ribosomal RNA". It matches the Rfam family "Bacterial small subunit ribosomal RNA", at positions 524 to 776 of the family's 1533-position model. The record is from RNAcentral.